This is a long non-coding RNA of Homo sapiens (human), 4957 nucleotides long. RefSeq lists it as uncharacterized. Lineage: Eukaryota; Metazoa; Chordata; Mammalia; Primates; Hominidae. The transcript has 2 exons. The record is from RefSeq and is a predicted model, not a curated record.
CAAUCAUCUCAGUCUGAAGGGUACCCGGGAGUUUGACAGGUGAAGAGACCUCUUUCAGGCAGAGGGAACAAAAUAAGCCACAGUCCUCAUCCUUGAACCAGGUGAGAACUUCUAGCUUACUGGGUAAAGUCCAAUUAACGUGGUGCAGAAUUCCAUCCAUGGCAGGGCUCCUGCUGUCUCCAGCCUCAUCUCCAGGCACACCCUGCACCCUUGAGAAGACAAUGCUUCCGUGUCCACCAGUUCAUUCCUUCCAGACACAUCCCAGUGGUGUCUAGCUCAGGUCUCAGCUCCUGGAAAGGGACAAGGACGCCCCAGAGUCUGCUUUUUUGACACUUACCUUCUGGUCCCCCUGAAAAAUCAUGCUGCAUCACGCCUGCACAUUGUCCUUUCUGCGGAAAUGUCCUGUCUCCCCAUCUCUAUCUGCCAAAGACCCACGCAUAAUGCAAACAAUUCAGGUUUCACCCUUUGCAGUGAACUUUGUACAGCUCUCCCAGGUAAGUGGGCUCCCUGUACUGGUUCCUUGCCCAUGCCUCUCUCGUGUCACUCCCCAGCUGGUAGGGCAAUAGUCCUUGAUCUGUCAGAACUCCUGGUUGAAGUGUAGGUAUCACCUACACACAGUAAGGCUCCUUAGUGUUAUGAAAACCCACUCAUAUGCUGGCACAGAACUCUCUCUUCCCCCAGCAAUUGAUCCAGCAAUUCUCAAUCCAGGCUGCACACUAAAGUCAUCUGGGGAGCUUUUUAAAAAGCACCACUGCCAGGUUUCCUCCCCAGAUAAUCCAGUUUAAUGGGUCUUGGGUGGGGCCCAAGCAUAGGUAUUAUUUACAGGUUCCCUAAGUGAGGCUACUGGACAGCAGGAGUUGAGAAAAACUCAUACAGAGGUACAAAAAUAAAGGCUGGAUGAUGCGGCCCUUCAGGAAGCUCCUGCACAUCUCACCGGCAUAUCGAGGGCAUGAACUAGGUCAUGGGGACGAGGCAGAAUCUCACAGGCACCUCCCUGAUGAAAGUGGCGCGAAGCACUGCCUUGCAGCGUCGCUCUGGGGCCUGUCGUUUGCCUGGGUCUAGCUUAGCAAGGGCAAUGGCAAGAAGGGGUUUGGGAGUUAACAGACUGUUUCAUUCCAAGGGUCAAGAGUUGGUGGUUGGUAGCAGUGAGUGGGUCUAUAUUAGCCUCCUUGCUGGAAGGAGGGCCGGUAACGUUGUCCCCAUAUUUGCCAUCUGAGCGGACACUUCUGGAAUAUUCCAAGAUGUGCCAAUCCUUGGCCCUUGGAAUUAAUAGUCUCCUGACUCCCAAACCCCUUCUUGCCAUUGCCCUUGCUAAGCUAGACCCAGGCAAAAGACAAACCCCAGAGCAACAGUGCGAGGCGGUGCUCCACGCUCCAUCUCAGAGCAGAGCAACCUUAGGACCCCAUUUCAGAAUCCCCUCAAUGAAGUGUAUGGUGGAAGGGCCUGAUUCGUGUCAUGAGAGGUAACAACACCACUACCAACAUCCUGCUUCUCGUCCCCCAGCCCCUGCAAGGGUGCAGUGUGGCUACAGGGGGUGUCUCUGCAGUGAUUCCUCCCUUUACAGGGAAUGAGUCAGGUCCUCUGAAGAAAAGGUGUAAAAAGAAAAAAGAGUGUGUUGUCAAUACUUCAAAGCCUCAGCCAGCAUCAUCUGAUCUAGGAAAGGUGUGAUGGGGUAGGAUAAUCGAUCGCUGCUUAAUUUCCACUGGUUUCUGCAGGGUGCAGACCAGGAAAUUAGACAUUGGGCCUUCCCAGCAGGUCAAGAAACCCAUGUCAGAUACAGCAAAAUCAGCCUCUGUGGCCAGGGGACAGAGGCGUGUGGCGUCUACAAGAAACAAAGAACACAAAGGUUUCCAAGACCAUACUCUGAAAUCUCUGCUCCUUAGAACAGACUCUAAGCUACUACAGAAAAACCACAAGGAAGUUUUCCAUCUGCUUUUUUCCCCUAGUAUCUUCUCCCUAUCUCAAAAACAAAAAAACAAAACAAAACAAAACUUUAAAAAUCCAUGAAGCAUUAGCUAUUUUUAGAAAUUUUAACUUUUCUAUUAUCUAACAAUACAUAUUUCCUGAGCAUUUUAAGUCCAUUUUAAUUUUGUGUACUAUUUAAUGGUAAAUCGUGGUAUAUAUCCUCAACAUAAUACUUCAUAUCCUUGCAGUCCGAUUAUUCAGUCAGCCUUCACUUCUUCAGAUUAAACAAUAUAACUUCAAUUUGCAUAUGUUCUCCAGGUUAUUGCAAAAUAAACCUGUUUCAGUGCAUUUGAAGUAUAGAACAGUGAUCAUUUUAAAUCACACUCAAUUGCCCAGCUUUUCAUUUGAAUAAAAUUCAGGUACCGUUUAGUUCACAAAGAUAAUUUUACUUCAAGAUUUACAGUCGUGCCUCUCAUCUAAAGCAAUCUUCCUCACCCUCUCCCCGGCACUAUUUCUCACCAGCCCUCAAACCCACAAGGCCUCAUUCAAAAAUGAUGAAUCAAGAAGAAAAUAUAAUGUAAAUAGCUGCUGUAUUAGAAAAAUGCACUGGGAAUCUUUGAAAGCCAGGGAGAAUAUAUUAAUAUUCUAUAUUUCUUUUAUCAUACCAAAAAAAAAAAAAAAGGCAGGCUAUGCCUUAGAGCAAGGCUGCAACAGUGUGUCCCAUGUAGGAAAGAUAUUUGCAAGGCCGUCUGGCCUAAAUGCUCACCAUUAACCAAAGCAGGAGCUCUGGGAAGCUCCUGGGAAGUCCAGCCAUGUGGGGCCACCAAAACAUAAUGGAAAAUGCCCACCACACACUACACGCUUCUUCAUUACAUUGGCUCAAUACUGAGAAUGACCGCACAGGACAGCCCUCUUGCAUGACACUAAGGUUUUGUAGGUGAACUGCCACCUGUUAGAUUUCCACUUCCUUUGUUCUCCUACAGUGAGGUCUUUGUCCUGAGUUGAGGGGAGGACAGAUUUUGGUGGGAAGAUGAUCUGAGUUUAAAGGGGCUCUGAGAGAUCCACAUGCAGCUGUCUAGUAGGUUAAUGGGAAUACCCAUCCAACACUCUGGAAAGAGGUCCUUGCUGGAGAUGGAAAUCUAGGGUCCUUCACAUUGGCAUGGUUGUUGGAACCACGGCUGGGUCAGAGUUGUUGAGGAGCACAGACCUCUGAAGGGGGAAGAACAAGGAACCUUGGGAGCACCGAUAAUUGCUGGAUACACGAGCUCUGCGACAGGAAGGCAAGCAUAAGGCUGUCAUGCCAUAAAAACUAAGGCAAGAGAGAGUUUCCAUGCGAGGGAGGGGUCACACGAACUGAAUACAGUCCAAAGGACUGUAGGCAGUGGAUGAUACUAUUUAGGAGGUCUAAAUAUAGCUCUAGUAAUCUCAGCAAGAAUAAGUUACAAUGAAACAAUUACGGGUAAGGGAGAAGCUAGCUAGAUUUCACUGGACUAAAAAGGAGUAAGAAAGGAGUGGCUGGGCACCAUGGCUCACGUCUGUAAUCCCAGCACUUUGGAAGGCUGAGGCAGGCGGGUCACGAGGUCAACAGAUCGAGACCAUCCGGGUGAACAUAGUGAAACCCUGUUUCUACUAAAAAUAGAAAAACUAGCUGGGCGUGGUAGCGCAUGCCUGUAAUCCCAGCUACUCGGGAGGCUGAGGCAGGAGAAUCACUUGAACCCGGGAGGCAGAGGUUGCAGUGAGCCGAGAUCAUGCCAUUAUUGCACUCCAGCCUGGCGACAGCUAGAGACUCUGUCUCAAGAAAAGAAAAAAAAAGAAAGAAAGAAAGGAGUAAAUGGUGCCAGCAAGAUAGCUACAUAGAAUGGAAAGAGCAGGGAGGGCCGUGUGGACACUUAGCUCCUCUGUCUGCAGGUUGUACAACUUCAAUCGUCCGGCAGGCCCGUGAGCACCUUCGGUGUGACAGUCUGUUCAGCACUGGGGCUAUAAAGAUAAACAAGACAAAGUCCAUGUGCUCAAAGAGCUCUCCGUCUGUGAUCCCAGAGAGACAUCUGGACAGAGACGUCAAAAUACAAAACAAUAAAUUCUGGACAGAGCAGUGUUUAGCAUGAAUCGUGAUCUGGAGGACAAAGACACAGUCCUUGCUGUCACGGAGCUCACCAUUGAGGGAUGCCCACAGGCAGCUGAAAUACAGCGGAAGUGAUAAAUCUUUAACAGAGGGUGUUUUACUCGGGGCACCCAGAAAAAAAUGAAAUUUUAACUGCAGAUUCAGGAAGUUAUCCAUGAAAAGGCGGCAGUUGAUUCCAAACUCCAACAAUGCGCUGUCAAGGCUCAUGGGCUGGCUGAGACCGUCACUUCAGGCAGAGGAUGUAGCGUUCUGAGGGGAAGAAAAAGUUUUAAAAAGAAACUUCCAGAGACACUGUCUUGAUGCAAGGAGUAAACAUAAAGUACAAAUCUGGAACACAGCGUCAGACUUAUUAGGAAAGUUACUCGGAUCAGGGCCUCUGAAAUCACCCAGACCCGAGCUCCGUAACUGCUCUGGUAUAGAGCUGGGCUCUGUGCUAUGGAGACAGUACUGACAUUUCAUCUUCCCGAGGCACGUCCCCUGGCUCCGUGAUGUGGCCGUACAACAAGCCUGCCCUUUGUUACGGUGUGUGCACACAUGUAAGUGCUCUCGACAAAUCUGUGUUCCUGCCUCUCCUCCAGUGCUUCUCAGGCAACGACGUUACCCUUGGCCUCAAGGAAAAAAAACAGACACCGUUGGUUGGAGAUUACUGAGUAAACCUACAACGUCCUCAUGCUUAAGGCCCCGUCUGUGAUUCCACCAUGAAGGUCACAUAUCCUCUCUCCUAAAAAGACCUCAUGUCUCCAUUUAAGUAUUUGUUUGGGAAAAUGCUGUAUUGUAUUGAAAUUAUUGUAUAAAGAUAGGGCCUUGGUACAAAAUCUAGGAAUGUGAGGUUUAAACACAGUUGGAUAAAUUUUUAAAAAUCACAUUGCAAAUUUUAAUUAAGGCGAGGGAGCUUAAUUUAAACAAAUAAAUGAUUAGUGUUGACUACCA